RNAcentral lists this ribosomal RNA (1405 nucleotides) under uncultured eukaryote. RNAcentral describes it as "partial small subunit ribosomal RNA". It matches the Rfam family "Eukaryotic small subunit ribosomal RNA", at positions 33 to 1472 of the family's 1831-position model. The record is from RNAcentral.
UGUCUCAAAGAUUAAGCCAUGCAUGUCUAAGCAUAAACUGAACUAAAGUGAAGCCGCGAAUAGCUCAUUACAACAGCCGUUGUUUCUUGGAUCUCCGCAAUACUUGGAUAACUGAGGUAAUUCUUGAGCUAAUACACGCAAUCGAGCUCUGACCUAAGGGACGAGCGCAUUUAUUAGAACAAAACCAGUCAGUGCUUGCACUGUGGUUUGGUGAAUCUGAAUAACUGAGCAGAUCGCUUCGGUCUCGUACCGGCGAUGUAUCCUUCAAGUGUCUGCCUUAUCAACUUUCGAUGGUAGUUUAUGUGCCUACCAUGGUUGUAACGGGUAACGGAAAAUCAGGGUUCGAUUCCGGAGAGGGAGCCCUAGAAACAGCUACCACUUCUAAGGAAGGCAGCAGGCGCGCAAAUUACCCACUCUCGGCACGAGGAGGUAGUGACGAAAAAUAACGAGACGGUUCUCUUAUGAGUACCGUCAUCGGAAUGAGAACAAUCUAAACCCUUUAACGAGGACCUAGCGGAGGGCAAGUCUGGUGCCAGCAGCCGCGGUAAUUCCAGCUCCGCCAGUGUAUAUCUAUGCUGCUGCGGUUAAAAAGCUCGUAGUUGGAUCUGCGUGCUAGAGACUGGUCCACCUAUGGGUGUGCACUGGAUCUCAGCACUGAAUCGUUGGUUUUCUCUUUAUGCCUUUAACCGGGUGUACUGGAGUGACUAACAUGUUUACUUUGAAAAAAUUAGAGUGCUUAAAACAAGCGAUUUGCUUGAAUAUUCGUGCAUGGAAUAAUAUAAUAGGACUUUUGUUCUAUUUUGUUGGUUUUCAGAAACGAAAGUAAUGAUUAAGAGGGACAGAUGGGGUCAUUCGUACUGCCACGUUAGAGGUGAAAUUCUUGGAUCGUGGCAAGACGAACUACUGCGAAAGCAUUUGACAAAAAUGUUUUCAUUAAUCAAGAACGAAAGUUAUGGGUUCGAAGGCGAUCAGAUACCGCCCUAGUCAUAACCGUAAACGAUAUAGACUAGGCGUCUGCUCGGGUUUACUUUGACCGAGUAGAAGCCUUCCCGGAAACGAAAGUCUUCGUAUUCCGGGGGAAGUAUAGCUGCAAAGCCGAAACUUAAAGGAAUUGACGGAAGGGCACCACCAGGGGUGGAGCCUGCGGCUUAAUUUGACCCAACACGGGGAAACUCACCCGGCCCGGACACUAGAAGGACGACAGGUUGAGAGCUCUUUCUUGAUUUGGUGGGUGGUGGUGCAUGGCCGUUCUUAGUUGGUGGAGUGAUUUGUCUGGUUAAUUCCGAUAACGAACGAGACUCUGGCCUACUAACUAGUGUACAGAUCAUUAUGUCUGUCAUACUUCUUAGAGGGACAAACGGUGUUCAGCCGUAUGAAAAAGAGCAAUAACAGGUCUGUGAUGCCC